GAUGAACGCUGGCGGCGUGCCUAAUACAUGCAAGUCGAGCGAACAGACGAGGAGCUUGCUCCUCUGACGUUAGCGGCGGACGGGUGAGUAACACGUGGAUAACCUACCUAUAAGACUGGGAUAACUUCGGGAAACCGGAGCUAAUACCGGAUAAUAUAUUGAACCGCAUGGUUCAAUAGUGAAAGACGGUUUUGCUGUCACUUAUAGAUGGAUCCGCGCCGCAUUAGCUAGUUGGUAAGGUAACGGCUUACCAAGGCGACGAUGCGUAGCCGACCUGAGAGGGUGAUCGGCCACACUGGAACUGAGACACGGUCCAGACUCCUACGGGAGGCAGCAGUAGGGAAUCUUCCGCAAUGGGCGAAAGCCUGACGGAGCAACGCCGCGUGAGUGAUGAAGGUCUUCGGAUCGUAAAACUCUGUUAUUAGGGAAGAACAAAUGUGUAAGGAACUAUGCACGUCUUGACGGUACCUAAUCAGAAAGCCACGGCUAACUACGUG
RNAcentral lists this ribosomal RNA (497 nucleotides) under uncultured bacterium. Its description in RNAcentral is "partial 16S ribosomal RNA". It matches the Rfam family "Bacterial small subunit ribosomal RNA", at positions 28 to 507 of the family's 1533-position model. The record is from RNAcentral.